CCUAGAGCCUGUGCUCUGCAACAAAAGAAACCACUGCAACGAGAAGCCUGCCAACCACAACUAGAGAGAAGCCUUCACUCUCCGCAACAGGAGAAAGCCCACGGGCAGCAACGAGGACCCAGAGAAGUCAAAAGAAAUGGAGGCCCUAGAAGGAGAAAUGACCUGCCCAAGUUCACACUUCCUUGGUGGCUCAGAUGGUAAAGAAUCUGCCUGCAAUGUGGGAGACCUGGUUUUGAUUCCUGGAUUGGGAAGAUCCCCUGGAGGUAGGGCAUGGCAACCCACUCCUGCAUGCUUUCUUGGAGACUCUGCAUGGACUGAGGAGCCUGGCGGGCUACAGUGCAUGGGGUCGCAAAGAGUCGGACACAACUGAGCGACUAAGCGCAAGUUCAUGUAACUGGUGAAGAAACUGAGGCCCUAAGGACUUUUCAAAGUCAAGAGCAGAACAAAACCUGGGAUCUCAGUCUGGAACUCCAGUGCCUCUGAUCCCAAUGAGCAAGCAUGUGCAUCACCAUCCCCUGACCCUGUUACAAAGGACAUUCUCAAAGGAUUCAGGGGCAACUGCUAGGAUUAAAAAAAAAAUAGUACAAGUAUCAUGUAUUAGAGGCAAAUUCUAUAAAGCACAUUAUUGAGACAACUUCUGAAAUCUGAUUAUCAAUAAUAGUAUUUAAUAAAUGUUACAUUUCCUAAUUUGAUAAAUCCUGUGGUUAUAUAAGAAAAUGACAUUUUUCUUAGGAGAUACUCCCCGAAGUAUUUAGCAGUAAAGUGGCACAUGGUGGAUGGAGCUUAUUCUUGAAUGGUCAGAAAAAACACAUGUUUUAGAGAGAAAGAAAUGAAACAAAUUUGGCAAAAUAUUAACAAUUGGUGAAUCUGGGAGGAGGUUAUACAGGCAUUCUUCCUAGGAGUCUUGCGACUCUUCUGUAAGUUGACAUUCUUUCAAAAGGCUCAAAAAUAUUUCAAAAGUAGAUAUUCUGUAUAUUUAUUCUGGUCCGGGGAGCAAAAGUUCUUUAUGACUCCAUCUAGACUGGGCCUGCUCGGAAGGGGAAGGUGACAAGCCCCUACUUAGCACCGUUUGCAGGACAAGAGUUUCCAUGAGACAGAAUGCUGAGUCACUGAGUCAGCCAGGCUCUCCAUUCACGUCAGAAUCAAUUGGAAACAGCAGAGGCAGAGCAGAAGCAGCUGAGUUAGUUUUUAGGCACAAGCCCUGGGACCUGACAAGCUUACAGUCCUCACUUUGCGGCUUACUGAGGACAAGGAACUCAACUUCUCUGCAUCUCAGCGUGUCCAGUAAAUGUUGCUAAGAAUAUCUACUUCACAGAGUGAUAGUAAGCAUUAGAUUACACAGUGCAUAAAAACCUCUAAGUAAAGUGAAGUGAAAGUUGCUCAGUGUCCGACUCUUUGUGACCCAUGGACUAUACAGUCCCUGGAAUUCUCCAGGCCAGAAUACUGGA
Molecule: long non-coding RNA, 1448 nt
Organism: Bubalus bubalis (water buffalo)
Lineage: Eukaryota; Metazoa; Chordata; Mammalia; Artiodactyla; Bovidae
Exons: 3
Source: RefSeq, a predicted model, not a curated record